GAUGAACGCUGGCGGCGUGCCUAAUACAUGCAAGUCGAGCGAACAGACGAGGAGCUUGCUCCUCUGACGUUAGCGGCGGACGGGUGAGUAACACGUGGAUAACCCACCUAUAAGACUGGGAUAACUUCGGGAAACCGGAGCUAAUACCGGAUAAUAUAUUGAACCGCAUGGUUCAAUAGUGAAAGACGGUUUUGCUGUCACUUAUAGAUGGAUCCGCGCCGCAUUAGCUAGUUGGUAAGGUAACGGCUUACCAGGGCAACGAUGCGUAGCCGACCUGAGAGGGUGAUAGGCCACACUGGAACUGAGACACGGUCCAGACUCCUACGGGAGGCAGCAGUAGGGAAUCUUACGCAAUGGGCGAAAGCCUGACGGAGCAACGCCGCGUGAGUGAUGAAGGUCUUCGGAUCGUAAAACUCUGUUAUUGGGGAAGAACAAAUGUGUAAGUAACUAUGCACGUCUUGACGGUACCUAAUCAGAAAGCCACGGCUAACUACGUG
Molecule: ribosomal RNA, 497 nt
Filed under: uncultured bacterium
Lineage: Bacteria
Description: partial 16S ribosomal RNA
Rfam family: Bacterial small subunit ribosomal RNA
Source: RNAcentral